GUGGGUAUAGCUCAGUGGUAGAGUGCAUGCCUAGCAUUAACGAGAUCCUGGGUUCAAUCCCCAGCACCUCCA
Molecule: transfer RNA, 72 nt
Filed under: Camelus bactrianus (Bactrian camel)
Lineage: Eukaryota; Metazoa; Chordata; Mammalia; Artiodactyla; Camelidae
Also listed under: 2 other names
Rfam family: tRNA
About the family: Transfer RNA (tRNA) molecules are approximately 80 nucleotides in length. Their secondary structure includes four short double-helical elements and three loops (D, anti-codon, and T loops).
Source: Rfam by way of RNAcentral